This 711-nucleotide long non-coding RNA is filed under the name Anser brachyrhynchus (Pink-footed goose). RNAcentral describes it as "lncRNA (ENSABRG00000015416.1)". Lineage: Eukaryota; Metazoa; Chordata; Aves; Anseriformes; Anatidae. The record is from RNAcentral.
GAUAGAGUCACCUCUCUGUUGAGAACUGCCCUGACGUCUCUCUGGGUGAUAAGCAACAAACUGAUUGCAAGAAAUUCCAGGCUUGUGGACAUGGGAUAAACGUGAAUGACAGCCUGAUAUACUAAGGAAUUCAGUUGCUUGGAGACCUGCAUCUCGUUAUCUGUGCUGAAAGGCCAGAUCUAAAGUAGCAAGUGCACGUGGGAAGAAAAUGAGAAAGACAGGCUUUGUCUUCCUCCGAUUUGUUGGCUGCUCACCCAUCCCUUAAAAAAAGUCUUGAAUUCCUUUCUGGGGGCAUGUCGAUGUAUGUCAACGGGGGAGCAGAGAAGUCAAAGGCAUCGCUGUAGCAAGCAAGUUCUAAACCUCAAUCAUGUCAUUGAUCCACCCUCAAAUGCCCUUUCCUGCGAGUUCCUCGUGGCAAGGUAAAUACAGUUAUUUUUUCUGACUUCUCACUGUUAGAUAUUACACACAGUCUCACAGAAGUAUAGUCAGUAUCUCCAGUGUAGUAUACGCUGUACCUAUUCUAUUGGCUAGCAUUCAGCAAGUUUAAGUCAAUUCCAAUCAUUUUCCAACUUAAGUGCCAGGGAGCAUUUGGUGCCGUACAGCAUAACGCCAAUCUGAAAAGGACUGUUACAGGAGAUUAGCUUGUAGAAACAUCAUACUAACUGAGGGUACAGAAAUAAAAGGGAAAUCAAAGCAAGAUUGAAGGUUAAA